This 253-nucleotide ribosomal RNA is filed under the name uncultured bacterium. Its description in RNAcentral is "partial 16S ribosomal RNA". It matches the Rfam family "Bacterial small subunit ribosomal RNA", at positions 524 to 776 of the family's 1533-position model. The record is from RNAcentral.
UACAGAGGUGGCAAGCGUUGUUCGGAAUUACUGGGCGUAAAGGGCGCGUAGGCGGUUUCGUAAGUCCUGUGUGAAAUCCCCCGGCUCAACUGGGGAACUGCACAGGAAACUGCGAGGCUUGAGUUCGGGAGAGGGAUGCGGAAUUCCAGGUGUAGCGGUGAAAUGCGUAGAUAUCUGGAGGAACACCGGUGGCGAAGGCGGCAUCCUGGACCGACACUGACGCUGAGGAGCGAAAGCCAGGGGAGCAAACGGG